UACGGGGGGGAGCAAGCGUUGUUCGGAUUUACUGGGCGUAAAGGGCGCGUAGGCGGUCGUGACAAGUCACUUGUGAAAUCUCCGGGCUUAACUCGGAACGGUCAAGUGAUACUGUCGGACUAGAGUACAGAAGGGGCAACUGGAAUUCUCGGUGUAGCGGUGAAAUGCGCAGAUAUCAGGAGGAACACCAAUUGCGAAGGCAGCUCGCUGGGACGUUACUGACGCUGAGACGCGAAAGCGUGGGGAGCAAACAGG
This 255-nucleotide ribosomal RNA is filed under the name uncultured bacterium. RNAcentral describes it as "partial 16S ribosomal RNA". It matches the Rfam family "Bacterial small subunit ribosomal RNA", at positions 524 to 776 of the family's 1533-position model. The record is from RNAcentral.